GACGAACGCUGGCGGCGUGCUUAACACAUGCAAGUCGAACGAUGAAGCCUAGCUUGCUUGGUGGUUUAGUGGCGAACGGGUGAGUAAUACGUGAGUAACCUACCUUUAACUCUGGGAUAAGCCUGGGAAACUGGGUCUAAUACCGGAUACGACCAAUCUCCGCAUGGGGUGUUGGUGGAAAGCGUUAUGUAGUGGUUAUAGAUGGGCUCACGGCCUAUCAGCUUGUUGGUGAGGUAACGGCUCACCAAGGCGACGACGGGUAGCCGGCCUGAGAGGGUGACCGGCCACACUGGGACUGAGACACGGCCCAGACUCCUACGGGAGGCAGCAGUGGGGAAUAUUGCACAAUGGGCGCAAGCCUGAUGCAGCGACGCCGCGUGAGGGAUGACGGCCUUCGGGUUGUAAACCUCUGUUAGCAGGGAAGAAGAGAAAUUGACGGUACCUGCAGAGAAAGCGCCGGCUAACUACGUG
This 471-nucleotide ribosomal RNA is filed under the name uncultured bacterium. RNAcentral describes it as "partial 16S ribosomal RNA". It matches the Rfam family "Bacterial small subunit ribosomal RNA", at positions 28 to 507 of the family's 1533-position model. The record is from RNAcentral.